AGCAGUAGCCACGGUAAUACGAGGGGUGCAAGCGUUAUUCGGAAUUACUGGGCGUAAAGCGUGCGCAGGCGGUUAUGUAAGACAGUUGUGAAAUCCCCGGGCUCAACCUGGGAACUGCAUCUGUGACUGCAUAGCUAGAGUACGGUAGAGGGGGAUGGAAUUCCGCGUGUAGCAGUGAAAUGCGUAGAUAUGCGGAGGAACACCGAUGGCGAAGGCAAUCCCCUGGACCUGUACUGACGCUCAUGCACGAAAGCGUGGGGAGCAAACAGGAUUAGAUACCCCCGUAGUCCCUGUCUCUUAUAA
This 303-nucleotide ribosomal RNA is filed under the name uncultured bacterium. Its description in RNAcentral is "partial 16S ribosomal RNA". It matches the Rfam family "Bacterial small subunit ribosomal RNA", at positions 507 to 809 of the family's 1533-position model. The record is from RNAcentral.